RNAcentral lists this ribosomal RNA (443 nucleotides) under uncultured bacterium. RNAcentral describes it as "partial 16S ribosomal RNA". It matches the Rfam family "Bacterial small subunit ribosomal RNA", at positions 338 to 795 of the family's 1533-position model. The record is from RNAcentral.
CCUACGGGUGGCAGCAGUGGGGAAUAUUUGGCAAUGGGCGCGAGCCUUACCCAGCAAUACCGCGUGAGUGAAGACUGUCUUCGGAUUGUAAAGCUCUUUGUUCAGGGACGUACAGAUGACGGUACCUGAAUAACAAGCCCCGGCUAACUACGUGCCAGCAGCCGCGGUAAAACGUAGGGGGCGAGCGUUGUCCCGAAUGACUGGGCGUAAAGGGUGCGUAGGCGGCAUAAUAAGUUACAAGUGAAAUACCCAGAGCUUAACUCGGGUGCUGCUUCUAAGACUGGUGAGCUUGAGUGUGGGAGAGGUUAAUGGAAGUCCUAGUGUAGCGGUGGAAUGCGUAGAUAUUAGGAGGAACACCAGAGGCGAAGGCGAUUAACUGGACCGUAACUGACGCUGAGGCACGAAAGUGUGGGUAGCAAACAGGAUUAGAUACCCCAGUAGUC